RNAcentral lists this ribosomal RNA (323 nucleotides) under uncultured eukaryote. RNAcentral describes it as "partial 18S ribosomal RNA". It matches the Rfam family "Eukaryotic small subunit ribosomal RNA", at positions 1470 to 1796 of the family's 1831-position model. The record is from RNAcentral.
CCCUUAGAUGUUCUGGGCUGCACGCGUGCUACACUGAUAUUGCCAAUAUGUCAUUCUUAUCCGAAAUGGAUUGGGUAAUCAAGUAAUGAAAUUUCAUGCUUGGAAUCGGUAAUUGCAAUUUUAUCGUGAACGAGGAAUUCCUAGUAAGCACUAGUCAUCAGCUAAUGUUGAUUAUGUCCCUGCCCUUUGUACACACCGCCCGUCGCUACUACGGAUUGGGUGUUCAAGUGAGAUGCUUAGACCCUUGUUGCAUGGUUCAUUAUUGUGCUCCGAAAGGAAAAAGUUUCAAGCUUGAGUGUCUAGAGGAAGUAAAAGUCGUAACA